UUUAAUUUCCAGAACGGGAACCAUUUGUGAGACUGUAAUGGGUGUGAGAAACUACGUGGGAUGGAAAUUACUUUCAACGCUGAAGACCUCCGUUCUCCAUGCAUAAGCCGACUGUAGGCUGGCGAAGAUCUGGCUCUCGAUGGCCUGCACCCACAGCUCCCGCUCCUCAUACGUGGAGGCCUCGAAGUGCCACAUCUGCCCCGUCAAUGAGACGAUGUUGAACUCAAACGACUCCUCUUGCUCUGGAAGACAAAGCAAGUCCUGAUUAUGUGGGGAAACAAAAGUUGUGGCCUGCGCACAGAUCUGCCGGCAGACGACUGAGGCAACCCUGGCCCGAGUUAACGGCAUUCGCAGACGACGGUGCCCGUCUCAGCAAGCACCUGUCAAAUACUUGACAAGAGCGAACAGUGGAAUGGAAGAAGGUCAAGAGCAUAAGCAAGAUGCAUGCAGUCCUGGAGAGGGGAGGCGGAGUCAUCUUUGGGGAGCAGCAUGGGCACAGCGGGACAGCGUAGCAUCGCGGGGUGGAGGACGCCCAAGUUCUCUCACCGCUCCAGGGUACCUGCACCAGGAGGGCGGCCGGAGAGAUGCCCGUGCCGGCCCGUCCCUUUACUUUAUUUCACACAA
Molecule: long non-coding RNA, 624 nt
Organism: Conger conger (European conger)
Lineage: Eukaryota; Metazoa; Chordata; Actinopteri; Anguilliformes; Congridae
Exons: 5
Source: RefSeq, a predicted model, not a curated record